AUCAAUAAGCGGAGGAAAAGAAACUAACAAGGAUUCCCCUAGUAACGGCGAGUGAAGCGGGAAAAGCUCAAAUUUGAAAUCUGGUAGCCUCAGGCUGCCCGAGUUGUAAUCUAUAGAAACGUUUUCCGCGUUGGCCCAUGUACAAGUCUCCUGGAAUGGAGCGUCAUAGAGGGUGAGAAUCCCGUCCUUGACAUGGACUACCAAUGCUUUGUGAUACGUUUUCAAAGAGUCGAGUUGUUUGGGAAUGCAGCUCAAAAUGGGUGGUAAAUUCCAUCUAAAGCUAAAUAUUGGCGAGAGACCGAUAGCGAACAAGUACCGUGAGGGAAAGAUGAAAAGCACUUUGGAAAGAGAGUUAAACAGUAUGUGAAAUUGUUGAAAGGGAAACGAUUGAAGUCAGUCAUGUCUAUUGGACUCAGCCGGUUCUGCCGGUGUACUUCCUUUAGAUGGGGUCAACAUCAGUUUUGAUCGCUGGAAAAGGGCAGGAGGAAUGUAGCACUCUCGGGUGAACUUAUAGCCUUCUGUCGUAUACAGUGGUUGGGACUGAGGAACGCAGCAUGCCUUUAUGCCGGGGUUCGCCCACGUACAUGC
This 588-nucleotide ribosomal RNA is filed under the name Solicoccozyma terrea. RNAcentral's name for it is "eukaryotic LSU rRNA". It matches the Rfam family "Eukaryotic large subunit ribosomal RNA", at positions 42 to 618 of the family's 3401-position model. Lineage: Eukaryota; Fungi; Basidiomycota; Tremellomycetes; Filobasidiales; Piskurozymaceae. The record is from RNAcentral.